RNAcentral lists this ribosomal RNA (916 nucleotides) under Pseudombrophila theioleuca. Its description in RNAcentral is "eukaryotic LSU rRNA". It matches the Rfam family "Eukaryotic large subunit ribosomal RNA", at positions 35 to 968 of the family's 3401-position model. Lineage: Eukaryota; Fungi; Ascomycota; Pezizomycetes; Pezizales; Pyronemataceae. The record is from RNAcentral.
UAAGCAUAUCAAUAAGCGGAGGAAAAGAAACCAACAGGGAUUGCCUUAGUAACUGCGAGUGAAGCGGCAAAAGCUCAAAUUUGAAAUCUGGCGUCUUCGACGUCCGAGUUGUAAUUUGGAGAGACAUCUUCGGAGUAGACGCCGUCCUAAGUUCCUUGGAACAGGACGUCACAGAGGGUGAGAAUCCCGUGCCUGGAUGGCUGUUCUACUUCAUGUGAAGUGUCUUCGACGAGUCGAGUUGUUUGGGAAUGCAGCUCAAAAUGGGAGGUAAAUUUCUUCUAAAGCUAAAUAUUGGCGAGAGACCGAUAGCGCACAAGUAGAGUGAUCGAAAGAUGAAAAGCACUUUGAAAAGAGAGUUAAAAAGUACGUGAAAUUGUUGAAAGGGAAGCGCUUGAGACCAGACUCGAUCUUUGGUGAUCAUCGGUGCUUCUGUACCGUGCACUCACCAUUGAUUGGGCCAGCAUCGGUUUAGACGGCGGGAUAAAGACCUAAGGAAUGUGGCUCCUCUCGGGGAGUGUUAUAGCCUUGGGUGCAAUGCCGCCAGUCUGGACCGAGGACCGCGCUUCGGCUAGGAUGCUGGCGUAAUGGUCUUCAGCGACCCGUCUUGAAACACGGACCAAGGAGUCUAACAUCUAUGCGAGUGUUCGGGUGGAAAACCCUUGCGCGUAAUGAAAGUGAACGGAGGUGAGAACACUUCGGUGUGCAUCAUCGACCGAUCCUGAUGUCUUCGGAUGGAUUUGAGUAUGAGCAUAGCUGUUGGGACCCGAAAGAUGGUGAACUAUGCCUGAAUAGGGUGAAGCCAGAGGAAACUCUGGUGGAGGCUCGCAGCGGUUCUGACGUGCAAAUCGAUCGUCAAAUUUGGGUAUAGGGGCGAAAGACUAAUCGAACCAUCUAGUAGCUGGUUCCUGCCGAAGUU